CGGCGCAAAAGCUAUGAUUGGCUUGCUUCAGUCCAUCAAUUGAACUUAAAAUAUAAAUACAUAAAUAAAUUAUAUAUUAUGUAUCAAUUAUUAGUUUUAUAAAAAAAUUAAUAUUUAUAUAUAUUAUCUAGUUAUUAUGAAAUAGAAUACAUUUCAACUAUAUGAUUAGAAUAUAAUUAGAAUGGUUGUUUUAAAAUAUAUAAAUGGA
This 208-nucleotide long non-coding RNA is filed under the name Elaeis guineensis (African oil palm). Its description in RNAcentral is "long non-coding RNA (EGUI_LNC041480)". Lineage: Eukaryota; Viridiplantae; Streptophyta; Magnoliopsida; Arecales; Arecaceae. The record is from RNAcentral.